GGGGUUGUGGCUCAGUGGUAAAGCGCUUGCCUAGCAUGUGUGAGGCAGUGUCCGAUUCUCAGCACCA
RNAcentral lists this transfer RNA (67 nucleotides) under Marmota monax (woodchuck). Its description in RNAcentral is "tRNA.Ala". The record is from RNAcentral. Lineage: Eukaryota; Metazoa; Chordata; Mammalia; Rodentia; Sciuridae.